UUUAUAUCAUUAUACCGAUGGCGGAAACCUUUAAUUUUUUCAUAAAAUUUUAGUACAAGUUUCUGUUAAUUUUGUUUUAAAAUAUGUGAUCUGAAUCGUUAUGAAAUAUCCAUCACUCAUCUUUUCCAAAUUCAGUUAGACCAUCUCGCUUUGAUUUGAAUUCUAAGUCAGAAUGUAUGGGGUGCGCGGUACGGGUAAGAAGAACAUAAACGCAUCACAACACCAAAGUCUGGGUGAGACGGUGAUGGUGUGAAACGCUUCUUGCUUCAAGCUCUUGUGGUAACAGUGUUAAAAGCAACAACAACAACAGAGAAUAACGCAUCGCGUAGAAACAAACACACCGUUCGUGGGUAUGUCAGGGGGGGAAACAACGGGAAAAGCUCAAUUCUCUCUCAGCGAUGCCGCUUGGGUAGACUGCCGCAACCAAAUCAAGAGAGUGAAUUCUCAUUUCAAUCCGAAAAACUGGGAGAGAGUGAUGACAUGCGAGAGAGAAUAACACUAGAAACACGAGAGAGGACACGAAACGCUUUCGGGUUUUUUUCGCCUUCGCGCACAUUUUGCUUUAUGCGCGCGAAAAAGUGAGCCUUCCCAAGUAGCAGAGCCGAAAUUGUUGAGAGGUUUUUCUGUGUGCCAAAGCGAGAGGCCCUGUCUUCUCUCUCUAGAUUUUGGACGGCAAACCGCCGCGCGUGCAGAGGUGUGUGCGUGUGACGAAAAAUUAUGGAUGAAAUACGGGGCAAGCGGGGUUUGAAGUCUUUCGUUCGUCACACACACAUGCAUUUACCAGCGGAUAACGCUGGACCGAGUCUACCCAUCUCUCUCGAUCCACCAUGAUUUUUCUGCUAUCGCGCUCAUCCGGGUGUUAGGCAUCCUCAGUCUGUCCAGAACUUUCCCUGUGGAAGGAUGUACUGAAGUGAGGUGCGAUUUAUUGUGCGACGUACUUUGUUCAUUUACGUUUUGUGCCGUGUUCCUUCUUCCUCAGUUAUGGAAUGAUUUAUCCUAGCAAAUUGUUGAGGUAAGUUUCUUCCUGUGUGCUUGUGCAGGUACAUUCAACUAACCCUUGGCGUCUAAAAAGUUACAGGUGUGUGCGCUAUUUAUCAACGACUACCUGAUGGCGUCGUCAACAAUCUUCAAAGGAGCGACGGAAAGAAAACAUUUUCCAGUUUUAAAAUAUUAAACCUCCGGUGAGGACGUCAUUACUUAACAGAAGCCGGUUCAACACGCGCAGCUCCUGUUCAUGACGUCAUCACUAAACUCAAGCCAGCUGAACACGCGCAGCACGGAUGGUACCCCGAGCGCGGUAGGAGGAAGGAAGAACGAGAGGAGGAAGAACGGUAAAUUCGGAAGGGGGAAAGCGUUCUGCCGUCUACACAGCGGGAGUAUGCCAAAACACAUGUGGGAAGGGAGAGGGAUAUUAUUCAAUAAACAGCAUGCGAAUGUGUGCAUAAAGCAAAUGUGAACAGCCUCAUCAUUUCUAUAAGCAAUCCGAAAAAGGGGGUGGAGCAAACACAUUGGUAUGCGUGAGCGGCUGAAGAAACCAGAACGUUUAGAUGUGUGCGUGACGGAUGGUUCGGGCGCCUGUGGCGAAGCUCUCGACAAGCCUGCAAACGAGAGCUUUGUGGAGAGCUUUGUAGGGAGCUCAAAUUACACAGGCCGCCGUCGGUUUUUGCGUCCUUGGGUUGAUCAGCGCGAUGGCUCCCAUACAAAGGCCUUCGGCUUUGCUAUCUGGGAAGGAGAAACGCGCUGCGAUGAGAGUUCGCAUUCUGUUUUACACGCGCGCUUCACUAACACCAAUACAAAUACCGUGCUUUGACGAGCCGUCUGUGAAUGUGUGUGUCUUCUUUCAGCGAGCUCAACAACUUGGAUCUGCUCGUCACAUCGUGUUGUCUCGCUUACACUACAGCAUCGAACCAUCGCUCCGUAUGUCCCCCCCUCCUACGCGUGCAAAACCACCAGUACAGCGCGACGCUUUGCCGGAGAUGGUUGUGCGCGUUUCGUUCUAAGUCCCGCGCGCAGUGUUUGUGCGUUGACGCGCAUUUCGUGCGCCGGUGUGUUUUGAUGAAGUGUGAAGUGAACAGUGUGUACAGAUGCACAUGCAGUGCAUGCAUCGACAGGUAAGAAUUUGCUGAACAGAGGCAACGCAGAUUGUCGACAAGUUUCCCGCAGCCUGGCUCCCGGUACUUUACGGUAUGACGCCAUGCGUGAGUAUGAAGGAUUCCAAAUGUGUUGUGAAAGUGUAAUUUAUGUUUCAAUAAAGUGUUUAAUGUAACCAAAAAUGACCGUGUUUGUGUUUGCUUUUAGAAUAAGUGCGCAUUUGCGAUCGUGUCUAUUCAUGAAAGAAAACGAGAAACGAAAGAAACAACUAUCUUUACAUGUGUUCGUAGCAUGGCUCGAAAGAACACAAACACAUUGACAACUGCAGAGCGCACCGUGCGUUACGGGUGGGGAGGGGGAGGGCUCGCGCGAGGGUGUAACUCAUUCCUCCAAGAGUAACUGCUAACGGGGGACGGUACUCAAAUCACUCAAAAAAUACACUCAUUUUGCCGGACGGGUGCCCGUCCGGCAAAAUGAGUGUAUUUUUUGAGUGAUCCCGUUCGGCAAAAUGAGUGAUUUGAGUUUUUUUUGAGUGAUUUGAGUGACGCUGUCGAAAUACAGUCAACUAUUAGGCCAUAUUUAUCUUCGUCAGAAGGAAGUAGUAUCUGCCUAUAUUAUCAAAAUUAGGCUUCCCUAUGAAAUACCUCGUAGAAUCCGGUCCCUUGAUGAAAUUGCGCAAUGGAAAGCUACUGAAUACCGUAUCUUCUUCCAUUAUUUAAGCGUAGUUAUACUAGAAGAUUUUUAUCAAUAUGAAGGUUCAUUUAACCAUUUUUUGAUGUUAUUUUCUGCAAUAACAAUAUUUUCUUCAAGGGCCCAUCAACAAUAUUGGUCUCUGGCAAAAAUAAUGUUGGACGAAUUCUUUAGACACUUUGGGAAAUAUUAUGGACGGUCUAACAUAACCAGCAAUGUUCAUAACCUUCAGCAUGUUGCUCAUGAAGUUGAAAAGCUUGGGCCUCUGGAUUUAUAUUCCGCAUACGAUUAUGAAAAUAAUUUAAGAUUUAUUAAGCAAGACGUAAAAUCAGGCACUAAUAUAGUUGAACAAGUAGCUGGUCGUCUAACCGAACGCAGUCAAGUAGUAAAAGCCAAAAACAUCGCGAAACUUAUAUACCCGAGACUUAGACCAAACGGCCAUUUCUUUAUUACCGAGGAUUUUUCCCUUCACACACAGUUCCAGAAGCAAUGGUUUUUAACUGAAGAAAGUAAUAUUAUUAAAUUUGUAAAAGCAAAGAAAGAUGCUUGUGAUUCCUUUAUAAUUGUUGGCGAUUUAAUCGAAUCAUGUGAGGAACUUUUUAAUGUAGUGUCUGAUGAGGACAAUGUGAUAACAGAUAUACAUUUAUCAUCGACUGAAAUUUGUAUCUACAAAGUUAAGCUUAAUGUUCCUACAAUAAGGGUAGAGGUCCCCUGUACAUCUGUGCUAUGUAAGCUUGUUCCAAUUUUUAAACCAUCGCGGUCUUUAUUGCAAAUGCCUGUAAGGACAACACCCCAGCCAAAUUCAAUAGUUUUAUUUCCUUUGUUACACACGUUUAGGAACGCAUAAUAUGUAAAAUAGUUUAUUAAAAAUUAUUCAACAAAAAAAAGCCAUUUAUUUAUUUACUUAUCGUGAUUUUAACUUUAAUAAAUGACAUGAUUUUUAUUAAUUUAAAAUUUCAGUUAAAUAAAUAACUUUGGUUUUUGCGGCACCGCAUCGAACUCAAAAUAGAAAAGAGCUUAUGGGUACCAACUGUAAAAGUAAACGAACGAACAUGUUUUAAUAGUUCACGUAUAUUCAACUAAACAUUAUUUAUAGAGCCUAGGUCUAUUCCAUCUCUUAUAAAACUAAUAUGUUCCUAACAAAGUAAUAGUCAACAAUACUAAAAUAACUAAACUAGUUCGUUUGUUUUUUGUUUCGCUUGUGCGCUUUAUGCACUACGCUUUUAGUUAUUCCUCUUGUUAAGCUUGCACUUUUUGCAUUACUAAUUUUGUUUUUUAAGAAUUGCUCGACAUCUUUUUCUGUUGUCUGGGCACCUCCUACCCGUUUGAAGACAUUCAGAAUGUUUCGGUAUGCCACUAACGCUACCUUUUCCGAGCCAUUUCGCGAAACACCUCUCCAAUUGCACUGAACCACAAACUGACGACAAAACACAUUGUAAAAUGUGUGGUUGUACGCGUUUCGUUCUAAGUCCCGCGCGCAGUGUUUGUGCGUUGGUGCGCAUUUCGUCAAAGUCUCGUGCGCUGGUGUGUUUUGGUGAAGUGUGAAGUAAAAAAAUAGUGUGUACAGUACAGAGUUCGCAUUCUAUUUUACACGCGCGCUUCACUAACACCAAUACAAAUACCGUGCUUUGACGAGCCGUCUGUGAAUGUGUGUGUCUUCUUUCAGCGAGCUCACCAACUUGGAUCUGCUCGUCACAUCGUGUUGUCUCGCUUACACUAUAGCAUCGAACCAUCGCUCCGUAUGUCCCCCCCUCCUACGCGUGCAAAACCACCAGUACAGCGCGACGCUUUGCCGGAGAUGGUUGUGCGCGUUUCGUUCUAAGUCCCGCGCGCAGUGUUUGUGCGUUGAUGCGCAUUUCGUGCGCCGGUGUGUUUUGAUGAAGUGUGAAGUGAACAGUGUGUACAGAUGCACAUGCAGUGCAUGCAUCGACAGGUAAGAAUUUGCUGAACAGAGGCAACGCAGAUUGUCGACAAGUUUCCCGCAGCCUGGCUCCCGGUACUUUACGGUAUGACGCCAUGCGUGAGUAUGAAGGAUUCCAAAUGUGUUGUGAAAGUGUAAUUUAUGUUUCAAUAAAGUGUUUAAUGUAACCAAAAAUGACCGUGUUUGUGUUUGCUUUUAGAAUAAGUGCGCAUUUGCGAUCGUGUCUAUUCAUGAAAGAAAACGAGAAACGAAAGAAACAACUAUCUUUACAUGUGUUCGUAGCAUGGCUCGAAAGAACACAAACACAUUGAGAACUGCAGAGCGCACCGUGCGUUACGGGUGGGGUGGGGGAGGGCUCGCGUGAGUGGGUAACUCAUUGUCUCCGUUGUCUCCUGUUGCGCGGCUGCUGGGGGACAAUGCAAUUGCGCAGCGAUAGCCCUGGAAAACAGCAAGGACAUACAUACAUUAAAGAACAUAAUUACUGACGUCAUAAUACAAAAUGAGACGAUAAUCAAGUGGCAACAACAAAACCAACCAAAUGUACCUCAGCAAGAAACACCCGAACAACAACAAGUAACGGAAGCCGACGAGGAAAUUAUCCCCUUGAUAGCUACUAAGAAAGAGUUGGAUGAUCUGCAGCAGAAUUUAGCUAUGGAGGAUUAUUUUAAUGAUAUGAAAGGCUAAAGCUGGAGGCUAAAAUAAAGGCCACAAUAACGAAGGCACGACUUCAUGAUGCCUUAUAUCUGGUUGAUGCCUUAUAUCAUGAUGCCUUAUAUCAUGGUAUAUAGGUUGUUUCUAAUACAAUGUAGUUGGAGUGGAAGAGGAGGCAAAAUAGCUUUUCGGAAGUGCGAUCAGCUGUUGCGGCUAUUUGGUCGCAUAGGUGAUGUCGGUGAAAAAAACGUUGAGAAAGCAUUCCUUGAGAAAUUUAUUCAAGGAAAACUUCAGAAUGCAAAAAACAGUUCAACUAUAUCUGGUGUGAUUAAAAGCGUGACUCGUGGUUCAUUCACACGGAAGCCCAAAGGACGGCGUAACAAAAAAAUUAAAAAUAUAGUUCGUUCAGACAAGUUUGUUUUUUAUAUCACCACACAGUGAUUGGCUGUGACGUUAUGAACUAUGAAUUAAUAUGAAUAAACCAAUGAAUUACUUUAUGCAACA
This is a long non-coding RNA of Anopheles coluzzii, 5857 nucleotides long. RefSeq lists it as uncharacterized. The transcript is spliced from 2 exons. NCBI's taxonomy places the organism in Eukaryota, Metazoa, Arthropoda, Insecta, Diptera, Culicidae. The record is from RefSeq and is a predicted model, not a curated record.